GUAGGGAAUCUUCGGCAAUGGGGGCAACCCUGACCGAGCAACGCCGCGUGAGUGAAGAAGGUUUUCGGAUCGUAAAGCUCUGUUGUAAGAGAAGAACGAGUAUGAGAGUGGAAAGCUCAUACUGUGACGGUAACUUACCAGAAGGGGACGGCUAACUACGUGCCAGCAGCCGCGGUAAUACGUAGGUCCCGAGCGUUAUCCGGAUUUAUUGGGCGUAAAGCGAGCGCAGGCGGUUAGAUAAGUCUGAAGUUAAAGGCUGUGGCUUAACCAUAGUAUGCUUUGGAAACUGUUUGACUUGAGUACAGAAGGGGAGAGUGGAAUUCCAUGUGUAGCGGUGGAAUGCGUAGAUAUAUGGAGGAACACCGGUGGCGAAAGCGGCUCUCUGGUCUGUAACUGACGCUGAGGCUCGAAAGCGUGGGUAGCGAACAGG
RNAcentral lists this ribosomal RNA (430 nucleotides) under uncultured bacterium. Its description in RNAcentral is "bacterial SSU rRNA". It matches the Rfam family "Bacterial small subunit ribosomal RNA", at positions 354 to 776 of the family's 1533-position model. The record is from RNAcentral.